UACGUAGGGGGCGAGCGUUGUCCGGAAUUAUUGGGCGUAAAGAGCUCGUAGGCGGUGUGUCACGUCGGCCGUGAAAACCUGCAGCUUAACUGUGGGCGUGCGGUCGAUACGGGCAUCACUGGAGUUCGGCAGGGGAGACUGGAAUUCCUGGUGUAGCGGUGAAAUGCGCAGAUAUCAGGAGGAACACCGGUGGCGAAGGCGGGUCUCUGGGCCGAUACUGACGCUGAGGAGCGAAAGCGUGGGGAGCAAACAGG
This 254-nucleotide ribosomal RNA is filed under the name uncultured bacterium. RNAcentral describes it as "partial 16S ribosomal RNA". It matches the Rfam family "Bacterial small subunit ribosomal RNA", at positions 524 to 776 of the family's 1533-position model. The record is from RNAcentral.